Non-coding RNA from Nicotiana sylvestris (wood tobacco), 86 nucleotides. Lineage: Eukaryota; Viridiplantae; Streptophyta; Magnoliopsida; Solanales; Solanaceae. The record is from Rfam.
GAUCCCAUAUUUAUUUAGAGAAAGUCAUACACCACUCUGAUUAUAGUGAUGUUAAAUUUCUCAUACCCAUAUACUCUUCUGAGCUC